Molecule: transfer RNA, 73 nt
Filed under: Desulfobacteraceae bacterium
Lineage: Bacteria; Pseudomonadati; Thermodesulfobacteriota; Desulfobacteria; Desulfobacterales; Desulfobacteraceae
Description: tRNA-Phe
Rfam family: tRNA
About the family: Transfer RNA (tRNA) molecules are approximately 80 nucleotides in length. Their secondary structure includes four short double-helical elements and three loops (D, anti-codon, and T loops).
Source: RNAcentral
GCCGAGAUAGCUCAGCCGGUAGAGCAGAGGACUGAAAAUCCUUGUGUCCACAGUUCAAUUCUGUGUCUCGGCA